AAAAAAGACAUGUCCCAUUAUUUUAGCUUUUUAAGGACAAUAUAUUCCUAAGUGGAGCAAAAUAUUGAAAAAUUAUAUUUGGCCGAUGUCAAAUAACUGAAUUAAGACUUAUCUUCAAGCAAAUCACAAUUACCAUCCAUUUAGCUAAGUUACUGAUCAGAAAUGGAAAUGAUCGAGCAAAUUGACAACUAACUACUGCUUCACUUGACAAAAUCUACUUUCCA
RNAcentral lists this unclassified non-coding RNA (224 nucleotides) under Hevea brasiliensis (rubber tree). The record is from RNAcentral. Lineage: Eukaryota; Viridiplantae; Streptophyta; Magnoliopsida; Malpighiales; Euphorbiaceae.